Lagenorhynchus albirostris (white-beaked dolphin) is the source of this 967-nucleotide long non-coding RNA. RefSeq lists it as uncharacterized. The record is from RefSeq and is a predicted model, not a curated record. NCBI's taxonomy places the organism in Eukaryota, Metazoa, Chordata, Mammalia, Artiodactyla, Delphinidae. The transcript is spliced from 4 exons.
GCAGGCAAUCCCCUCCUGCCCUCCCCAUUAUCCCAGUUCUAACAUCAAGUAGGUCUUUGUGGUAUUAAAAUGAUUGACAGGGUAGAAUUUUACAAGUGGAAAUGGCCAAGAAUGACAUCUCCAACGGAAAGGACAGCAGCAUGGGCAAAGACAGAGAAUUUGCCUCUGGCCUUAGCAACACCUCGUUUCGUCUGGCUUGAGUUGCUUCGAGCUGUUCUGCACCCUGCACAUGUGGCCAUGAAGGAGACUCGCUCCUUGCUCUACUGAGGCCUUGGUUCAGGUCCACAUCCCCAACUCAGUCCCAAUAUAAGCCACAUCCAGUCCGCCUCACAGACAAGCAGAGGCCUGUGCCCAGCCAGCAGACCCCUGUGGAAUCAUAAGGCCAGCUGUUUGUGUUACUUGCAGGAGCCUGUCCCUGGAGGUUCCUCAGACUCCCAUGCACAUAUGGUUGGCAGCCUGACAGUCAUGUUGUCCACAUACAUGGCUUUUUGGUAAUUGAAGAGCCAUCUCCAGAUCAGGAAGCAGAUCACAAGAGGGGUCACACAGAGCACAGAGGAACGUCCUUUCACAGCACCAUGGCUGGAAUGCAGUGUUUCAGCUACGCUCCUAGAGCUGGACGCCCCAGUCUCCCAGCAUCCCCUGGUGGAAAAAGAGGGGCACCGUCCUCAUAAGGACCUCACCUACCUGUGUGUCGUCCUCCAUUUCUCGGCUGAGCUAAAGCCUCCAAGGACCUUCUUGGGGCUCCGGUGAACAUCUGUUCUGCUUCCAUCCCCACCCACCUGGCAUGGAGCUGGGGCUACGGGACUCCUGUCUCCACCACUGUUGUGAAUCAGAAGUCAGGGAACGGCACCAGAUCACAACCCAAGGAGAGAGUCUGCAUCCUUCCAGGUGACCUCCUUCACCACGACAUUGGCUCUGCCCACACAGAGACCUCUUCCAGCUUUGGCCUUCAGGAAGCUAACAGGAG